ACCUACAUGGUGCAAAUGGUUAACACACUUGGUUGCUAACCAAAAGGUAGGAGGUUCCAGUCCACUCGUAGGAG
This 74-nucleotide transfer RNA is filed under the name Loxodonta africana (African savanna elephant). It matches the Rfam family "tRNA". Rfam says of the family: Transfer RNA (tRNA) molecules are approximately 80 nucleotides in length. Lineage: Eukaryota; Metazoa; Chordata; Mammalia; Proboscidea; Elephantidae. The record is from Rfam by way of RNAcentral.